UACAGAGGUCUCAAGCGUUGUUCGGAUUCAUUGGGCGUAAAGGGUGCGUAGGUGGCGCUGUAAGUCGGGUGUGAAAUUUCGGAGCUUAACUCCGAAACUGCAUUCGAUACUGCGGGGCUAGAGUGCAGAAGGGGCAACUGGAAUUCUCGGUGUAGCGGUGAAAUGCGUAGAUAUCGAGAGGAACACCUGCGGCGAAGGCGGGUUGCUGGGCUGACACUGACGCUGAAGCGCGAAAGCUAGGGGAGCGAACGGG
RNAcentral lists this ribosomal RNA (253 nucleotides) under uncultured bacterium. RNAcentral's name for it is "partial 16S ribosomal RNA". It matches the Rfam family "Bacterial small subunit ribosomal RNA", at positions 524 to 776 of the family's 1533-position model. The record is from RNAcentral.